This 21-nucleotide microRNA is filed under the name Ornithorhynchus anatinus (platypus). Its description in RNAcentral is "oan-miR-1421af-3p". Lineage: Eukaryota; Metazoa; Chordata; Mammalia; Monotremata; Ornithorhynchidae. The record is from miRBase by way of RNAcentral.
UGCAUCACGUGUAACCUUCCU